ACACUCCUGCGGGAGGCAGCAGUGGGGAAUAUUGCACAAUGGGCGCAAGCCUGAUGCAGCCAUGCCGCGUGUAUGAAGAAGGCCUUCGGGUUGUAAAGUACUUUCAGCGGGGAGGAAGGCGAUAAGGUUAAUAACCUUGUCGAUUGACGUUACCCGCAGAAGAAGCACCGGCUAACUCCGUGCCAGCAGCCGCGGUAAUACGGAGGGUGCAAGCGUUAAUCGGAAUUACUGGGCGUAAAGCGCACGCAGGCGGUCUGUCAAGUCGGAUGUGAAAUCCCCGGGCUCAACCUGGGAACUGCACUCGAAACUGGCAGGCUAGAGUCUUGUAGAGGGGGGUAGAAUUCCAGGUGUAGCGGUGAAAUGCGUAGAGAUCUGGAGGAAUACCGGUGGCGAAGGCGGCCCCCUGGACAAAGACUGACGCUCAGGUGCGAAAGCGUGGGGAGCAAACAGGAUUAGAAACCCCAGUAGUCCCA
RNAcentral lists this ribosomal RNA (473 nucleotides) under uncultured organism. RNAcentral describes it as "partial 16S ribosomal RNA". It matches the Rfam family "Bacterial small subunit ribosomal RNA", at positions 333 to 797 of the family's 1533-position model. The record is from RNAcentral.